Molecule: non-coding RNA, 128 nt
Organism: Ilyonectria sp. MPI-CAGE-AT-0026
Lineage: Eukaryota; Fungi; Ascomycota; Sordariomycetes; Hypocreales; Nectriaceae
Source: the annotation of a GenBank genome assembly
GGAUCGAUAGCUCAGUGGUAGAGGUUAGUUUGACUGCCAAGCCAUUCACUUAGUCCAUCAAUCCUAACAUUGUUUUCAGCGGGAGAUUGCAGAUCUUCAGGCCGCGUGUUCGAACCACGCUCGGUCCU